RNAcentral lists this ribosomal RNA (253 nucleotides) under uncultured bacterium. RNAcentral describes it as "partial 16S ribosomal RNA". It matches the Rfam family "Bacterial small subunit ribosomal RNA", at positions 524 to 776 of the family's 1533-position model. The record is from RNAcentral.
UACGUAGGGUGCGAGCGUUAAUCGGAAUUACUGGGCGUAAAGAGUGCGUAGGCGGUUUCUCAAGUCCGCUGUGAAAUCCCCGGGCUCAACCUGGGAAUGGCAGUGGAAACUAGGAGACUUGAAUCUGGCAGAGGGGGGUGGAAUUCCACGUGUAGCAGUGAAAUGUGUAGAGAUGUGGAGGAACACCGAUGGCGAAGGCAGCCCCCUGGGCUGAGAUUGACGCUCAGGCACGAAAGCGUGGGGAGCAAACAGG